UUGAAUGGGCAGUGUCACAAUGGACCACUGGUUCCAUGAGCCCUCGCUGUGUCACAAGGGUCUCCUUGGCUGCAUGAGGAACCGAAAACCAUUGCAUAAACAUUGAGCAACACCUGCUUAACACACCUGGGAACAUCUGUUUGCAUUCAAAAGAGGGGUUAAAGGUAAAGAGGAUAAGCAGAAGAAGAAACACGGAAUGACCGAAAGACAGAAGAUCUACUGAAAGACACAUAUUCAGCUACCAACUGCUUGGGUUCCAGUGUGGGUGCCUGUGGCCAAAACUGAUAUUCCACCUCCAAAAUUCCCUAUAUCCAAGGAUUUCUCCCAGAUGAAAGGUGCCAGGAAAGAC
Molecule: long non-coding RNA, 349 nt
Organism: Passer domesticus (house sparrow)
Lineage: Eukaryota; Metazoa; Chordata; Aves; Passeriformes; Passeridae
Exons: 3
Source: RefSeq, a predicted model, not a curated record